UGAAAAGCAAAUAGUACUGCAAUUGCAACAACUAAGCCGCAGAGGAUGGACCUCCAUAAUGCAGAUAAUGAAUUAAUACUUUUCUGGACACUGCUUAAAAUAACUAAAGUAAUGCUUCAGUUACAAUAAAAAAAUAGAGCAAAGAGAAAGCACUACACAGUACAAACCUAUCUAGUACAAACGUAAUGAAUAGUACAAUCUCAAACUUAAGCUGUUGGUUCAAUAUUUAAAGGUUGUUGUUCUCUAACGGUGUAAAGGAAACACUCUUGGGAUUGAACACCCGAUAGCUCACAAACACAGACACACAAAGUGCUGCUACUGAUAGUAUAACGGAAAAGGCACUAGCCACAUUCCACGAGCUACUUGAUGCUGCAUCUACCGAGUUGCCACUCAAAGAACCGCCAACAGAUAUGUCAAUGGGAACCCAAUCACAAUUAACAGAGUAGUGUCCAGAACCAUGCCAUGGCUGACCAUCUACUGGAUACCAGAAUGCAACAGACAUCUUACUGGAUCCACCGAUGUUAAAUUGCACGUCCUGCAAGGUAUUAUUUUGCAUCAUUUUACUUGCUAGUUAUUUUAUAAAUGAAGUUUUGGAAUACAGAUAUUACUCCGUACACAACUAUUAAAACAAAAAUACAUUGGGUUUCCAGUGCUCUCUAAUUAAGCUAUAAAAUGGGUUCUUAGCCAGUAAGAAACUAAAAGAAAAAAACACAAUUUGUCAAAACAAAAACCGCACAAUUCAGAAAAACUCCUUCAAGCACAUAUAUUUGAAAACAUCUUUUUCAUCAAUGCUCCCAUACCAAACAAAACCAAAAAAAAAGAGAGGCAGUGAUCUAAAUCCUAUAUGUUUUAGUUUUUGGCCAUAGCCAAUAAACAUGUAUUCAGAAUCCAAGUUUGCAUUGUGAAGAAGGUAAAACAAACAAUACAGUAUAGCACUCUCCUCCAAAGCCAAAGUUGUUUCAACAAGAAAACAGCAUAGAAAUCUAUUGAAAAAAUAUUGUAUCGCAUGACCUGGGAUACACCGUGCCAGCAUUAAUCAAAAUUGAUAAAUAAUAAGUUCUUAUGUUUUUCAUCCACAAACCAUUAUUAGAUUUACAAAAGGCUCCAAUGAUUAAUUUGAGAGAGAACUUGAGAAUAAAUAAUUGAGCUGAUGGGAAAAAAAUCAAUUAAUCAUUGCAAGCUCUUAGCAAAUAAAACUUCUGAAUGUCGUAUUACUUUCUAGGUUCUAACCUGUUGAAGAUGAUCCAUGGUCCUCAAAGGCCUGGAAAAUUCAAAAAAGUAUCUGCCCUUUUUUCCAUUAUCUGCAUAUGGACUCUCAUCCUCUACGAAACCUGUUAUAGACAAGCAUGUGAGUACCAAUACAUAAAAUAAAAGGAAAAAAAGAUGCUAAGAAACUAAAUGGCAGGGUAAAAAUAAAGCAGAGAGAUCAGAUUUAAGAGAAUGAAGUUAAGGUACUCUAAUAAAAUAAAACAAAAAACAGCUCUAAUCAACAAAUCAGAGGCAGUGAUUGAACUGGUCUGAACCACCAAGAAAAAUAACUGAGGUCAGUAAAUUUUAGUGUUAUCCAUAAGUAAAGAAUAAUGUGUGAAUCUAUUGAUCCUAUUACAUAAUAUAACAAGAAUUACACCAAAACUAUGUUAUUUAUUAUGUUCCUGCUGUUAUACUACCUCAGUUUUAAAUUUAUAAUCUUUUAAGGUACCCUGACUAAGAAACAACUAAUUACUAAUAAAACCAUUUCAUAAAGCACUAGUAUAUCUAUUGCUGUUUUUCAUCUGUGUAAAAAAACAUUAAUUACAUGAGAUGGAGAAAUAAUAAAAAUUUUGUAAAAAAGUAUCUUUAAUUCUUACUGUCAUCUCUCUUUCAAUAUAAAUAAUAAUAUAUUAAUUACCUUUACUUAUAUGAGUAGGUAUUACUGGAAAAAUAACUUCAAAAGCUAAAAACACUGUUGUUUUGAUAUAGAGGAAGUAUUUUAGUACACACACAUGGUUCAACCAGAUAAUCAAUUUUACCGUUAACCCAGCACCUAAUUUGAGUCCAUUACUGCGUUUCAUACACUAGAAAUAUAGAAUACAAAAUAUGCUUUAACAUAAAAGAUAGAAUAAAUCCCUACUUUUGUCCUACGAGAACAUAGGUGCUGUAUUUUUUGUACUAGACAUUUAUCAUCAAAAUAAUCCCCUCAAUAAUGCAAAAAAUUAUCACUUUAAUACUCCUUAUAUUUUAACAUCAACAUAACACCUAAACAAUGCAAUUCAAUUUAGUCUCUCGAUCUCAAGCAAAAUGUCAUCGACGAACGGCUGAUUUGAUGAUAACUUGAAUAAUAGAGACUAACGUGACGAUGCUUGUAACUAACUAUCGAGAACCAAAAUAUGGGUCUACUCCCCAAAAAAGGAUAUUUUGUAUGGCAAGAUAAGAAACAAAGUGGAUUUUCUUCUUUAAAGGACACUGAACUUUUGGCACUUAGUGGGAGAUUGACCUACAUAGACGGUACCAAUUGAAAGCAACUGCCACUAACAUGUAUGAAAAUUUUCAAGUGCUGUUGACAUAACAUAAAACAAAAAUUAUAAAUGAAGCACAGUAAAAGGCAUGCUUUAUCUCAUAUAUACGAACUAUUUACUUCUUAAGUAGUAUGUAUAUAUAAGGAAACAUAUUUUAACUACUGCUCAGAAAAUAUUGUUUUGGAAUUCCUGUCUCUAUCAACCAAAAAUUCAGUCUGAAUUCAGCUCCCAACUAUUAUUAAUUGAUAGGACAUAAUACUUGUUUUUUAAUCUAAAAUGAAUCAGUCACCUGAGUGAACCGUGAAACUACUAUGCCACCAGGCACCCUUCCAGUCAUUCUGCGCACUGGAAUCAUUAGCUGACAACAGAAAAAGGGUCAGUCUAUAUACCUUAAAUGAUAAAAGUUAUAAAGAUUACCAAGUAUCAACAAGUGACGGGUUGAAAACAAAAAAUGUCAUAUAUAUAACCCACAACAUUCCAAGUCAUAAUACACGAAUGAAAGAAAAAUUCAUUGCCUGGAGGGAAGUGUCUUUCCUUUCAGAAUUUUAACUCUUUGAAAAUAGAUGCGUUAUCAUUCUAUUCAAUUCUUGUGAAGUAAUAGACAUUUUAUUGUAACUCUCAAACCAUAAACAUUAAUCGGUCAACAAAAUAUACCGACAUAAAUUUAAUUCAUAAUUCUCAUAGAGAUUCAUUUCAGAUGUUAGUUGGUGAGGCAACGAGCUAUAUGACUUGAGCACAGAGCCAAAUAAUCUAGAGUCACAGCAUCAAUGUCCAUAUAUAGUGUCAAAUAAGGAAGAAUGCUCGUAGUUUCUAGAACAUAUGUAGAUGUGGACAGAGGAGCUAGUUCAGAGAUUUUUGCUACUUGGAAUAUUGGUACUUUGACAGGUAAGUUUAUAAAGGUGGUAGGCACCAUGAUUCAGAAGACGAUUAACAUUAUGUACGACGAAAUUCUAAAUGGGUUAGAGAAAAAGUUAAGGAGUUAGUUACAUCGGGAUUUAAACUUUGGUAUACCGGGAAAGUAAGAGAGAAGAAUGGUGUGGGUAUUGUUGUGGACAAGGAUUGGAAAGAGAGGCUGGUGGAUUUAAAAACAUUGAAGCCAAAUUUGAACCUUAGAACUAUUGGUUGAAAACGUGACCAUCAAUAUUAUUGGCAGUUAUGCACCACAAGUAGGUUCUGAAGCACUUUAAAAAAAAAAAAAAAAAACUUCUAGAAAGAUUUGAUGGGAUUGGUUCAAGGCAUUGCACAAGAAGAUUUUCCUAGGAAGACAUCUAAAUGACAGCUGUGAGGCAACACAAUUUAUAGUUCAUGUGGUUCUAGUUUUAGAGAACUACAUAAGGGGUAGCAGUUUACUUUUUUUUUUCUUUACAACUUAAGAUUUUAGAAUUAUGAACAUUUGUUUCAUGAAGGAGGUGGAACAUCAAAUCAUUCAUAGGAGAGGAAGUUUAAGUUCACAUAUAGAUUUUGUUUGUUAGCAAGUGCUGACAAAAAAAGACCCAGAAAAGGAUGGAUUAUAGUUAAGUUGUUGGUCUUGAAGGUAUUUUUUGUUGAAGUUCAAAAGUGCAUACGGGCAUAAUGUAUCAUUUGUCCCAUGAUAGGACUUUAAUGUUGUGGGGUUGUCUAAGUCCCAUAUUAAGUAGUGUGGCACGCUUGAUGGAGUAUUUAAGUGUUUGGUUCUCCCCCUUAAUAACUAGUUUUUGAGGUGGGUUCCCCAACUAUUUGGAUGUUUAUCAAUUUGUAUCAAACCUGGUUAAUGCUGAAAUGUCACUCUUAGGAUGAGAUAAAGCAUGAGUGUUUGGUUCUCCCUUUAAUUGUUAGCUUUGUAGGAUAGGCUCCUCGAGUGUUUGGGUGCUUAUCAGCCCACCAAUGAGAUUUUGAGAUCUAUGAUGCCAAUUAAGUGGGGAGAAAGAGCUUUAAUUUCCACAUUCAAGAACAAGGUAAUAUGCAGGAUUAUGUUAACUACAGAGGAUUUAACUUAUGGGCCACUGAGAAAUUAUGUAAAAUGUGGUAAAGCACAGAUUUAAGAGAAGAGACAGGAUUAUAGAGAACAAAUUUUGUUUUAUAAUAGGGAGGUUUUACUAAUGAAGUCAUUUACAUUUUAGAAGGUAGAUGAAAAGAUACUCAAGUAAGGGAUUUUGAAAAAACUUAUGAUCAGGUAUCAAGAGAAAUACUAGGAAGGUUUACAACAGAAUUCAUUUAUAUUUUAUGAGGUAGAUGAAAAAAAUACUGAAAUAAAGAGACUUGCAUAUAAGUUUUAUUGACUUUGAAAAAACUUGUAAUCGAGUAUCAAGAGAAGUGUAGUGAAAAACUUUGGAAAAGAAAGAUCUUUCAUGACCUAUAUCAAAUCUACAAAAGAAAUCUAUGAUAUGAAAACCACUAGAGUAAAAACUGCAUGAGGAUAUAUGAAGGACUUUUGGAUGGCGAUAGGACAACAAAAAGGCUCAACCUUAAGUCUUUAUUUGUUUUACUUAGUCUUGAAGGUGAUUGCUAGAGACAUACAAAGGAUUAUAGGAUAAUUCCAAAUUGCCUUCCUUUCUACAAAUUAUGCAGUUAUCUUAAUCAAGGAAAGUUGUUAAACUUAAGCUUAGGUUUGAAAAUAAACUUGAAGACAAAAGCUUUUCACUUAAGUAGGAGUCUAACAAAGUAUACACAUUGUAACUUGAACAAAAGACAAUAAGAAUGACUGGGAAAUUGUUGGGAAUCUAAUGGCAUAAAACACUAGGAAUAUAUCUAUCAGUGGAUCAAGGGCAAACUAUACCAGAGAAUUUGACACCACAUUCCAUCUAAAGCUUGAAGGCAUUAGGUUUGUAGGUUCAUUUCACUUAUAUGUACUUCAAAUUGUUCGUUCUUAAAUGUGAAAACAUUAUAUUCACACUUGUGCUCCAAAAAUUUCUUCUUCAAGUGAGCAUUUAUUUCACAUGGUAUGGUCUCUCUUGAGCAUAAACCUUUUUCUAUCAUUGACUAUUCAAUGGGUCCAUAAACCUUAGACAUUAUUGCCAAUAUGCUAUAAUACUUGCAUUAUUGUGUGGCCAUAAAGCUCAGUCGUUAUUGUCAAUACACUAUAGCCACUUGUACCAUUAUUUCCUCACAUCAAUUGAACACAACAUUUGACAUUUGUAUAUAAAUCUAUUGUCAGAAAGACUUUCAAUCCAAAAGAAUUUUUAUCCAUAGAUCCACACCACUGAUUUCUUUAUAUUUGUAUGAGUCAACCAUCAAGCCAAACCAUCAACUUAAUACUAUAUUUGAAUCCAAGUGGAUAAAACAAUUGAAAGAUUCCCUCAAUCUGCCAUGAGGUUAACUACACAAGUGAACAUGACACCAUGUUCAAUAAAAAACUUUAAGAUUUUUAAAAUGUGAAUUUAGUCCUAACUUAACCACCAACUUUGAAGGUGUGGUUUGUACCCACUUACAUCAUAUCUCUAGUUAAGGUGAGAUUUCCAACACACUUUCUCAGGUUGAGGAUUAGACAUCUCAAGCAUAGGACUAUAUAUUUAUGAGUGGUCUAAUAACAAGUGGCAUGAUGGCCAUAGAACCCUCUAAAAGAUUAACUUUGAUACCAUCUUAGAAAAUAAACUUCAAGUCUAACUUAACCUCACAAAAUUGAUUUGUAAAUUGAGGUUUUCACCCUCAUGUAUAGUAUAAUUUGGCUUUAUAUCUAGUUGAUGUAGGAUAUUCAACAAAGGUAUUAGAAUUGCAUUUUAUUUCAUUCAUAUGACACUUCACUUGUUCAUUCUUAUUCAAUGUGAGAGUUAACAUUUAAACAAAAAUAAAAUUGAGAGAUGUCAUACCACAAGAUUAUAGGUAUAAAUAUUUCAUACAAAUACUUCGAAAUGAUGAAGAAAUUAACAAGGUUGUCACCCACAAGAUAUAAAUGGGUUGACUCAAAUGAAGAAAGUCGUUGAACAUCAUUUGUGAGUGCAAAGUACCUACUAGAGUUCAAGGACAACUUAUAUGGUACUUAUAUGCAUCUAACUAUAUUUUAUGAUAUCUGUUAAGAAGUAGACUUAAGCCUAACUUAACUCCAUAAAACCGGCUUGUAAGGUGAGGUUUGCACUCACUUAUAUAUUAUAAAUUUGCUUUAUCUUUAGUCGAUGUGAGACUUCCAACACAUCACCCUCAUGUCGAGGUAUAUACAUCUCGAGCGUGAGACUAGACAUUAAUGGGUGGUCCAAUAACGGCCCGAUAGCGGGUGGAACAACAUGUCCAACAAACAACAAAUAUCACUAGAAUAGGCUCUAACCUAACUCUGAUACCAUGUUAAGAAGUGGACUUAAGCCUAAUUCAACCUCACAAAACCAGCUUGUGAAGUGAGGUUUGCACCCACUUAUAUAUUAUAAAUUGGUCUUAUCUCUAGUCAAUGUGAGACUUCCAACAAUAUCAAUGUUGAGCUUUAUAGGGAUAACAAGAACAAGGUAGGAAUAAUAUAAGAGGACAAGAUAUGGAAUAAGUGUACACAAAACGAUAAUGAUAUGGAACUAAUUAAAAGAAAAAAGAUAGAAAAUCGAGUAAGGUGAUUUGGACACAUAUAGAAGACAUUGGAAAUAACUAAAAAGGCAAGGGAGAGUACAAGGACAUCUAUUAAUAGGAUCACAUGAUAUACAAUUGUUCCAACCUCAAGCUUGUUGACAUAGUUACCGCACCAAGGUUAUUGUUUGUUUUAAAUUCAGUAGCUCUAUCACAAUUUUGUUUUGAAAAGGUGCAUCAAUGGUGGGUUAAAUAAGAAGGGUAUUUGUAACUUCCCUUAACCUUGACUUUUAAACGAUGUGAGAGUUUUGAAUAAAAGUAGCCUAAACUCUCCUUUUAGCACCAAUAUUUCAAUCUCAUAUCGAUUGAUAUCAUUAGGGUCACCAUUUCCAAAGUAUUAUCAGCUUUGGAACUUGAUGACUCCCUUUCAAUUUUUUUCCAAAAAAGGCAUCACGACAGGUUAAGAAAGGACUAUUGGAACAAUAAUUUUUGAAGUUUUGACUUUUAACCAAAUUAAAAGACUUUUGUUCAUGUGACUAAUUUCACCUAGUAAAAUAAAUCUUUGUUUGCUAUACUAGCUGAAAUGAUGCUUUUUUCUACAGAUAAAGAAAAUAAUGUAAAUUGGUUUGCCAUUACGAGACUGGAUAUGUUAUGCUGCACACAUCAUAUUAGAUACAAAGAGAAAAUAUUAUAUGUUUAAGAUUAUGAAAAUACCACUGAGUAUAAAGUAACCGAAGUAGGACAGAUUACGAUUUCAAUGAAAUACUGCUGGGUGCUAUUGUGUUGAGUGUUAUGAACUGUGGGCCCAACAACAGCACUUGUCAAUCUUGUGUCAUGCCAUUUUAAAACUUAAUACCUUUACCUGACUUAGGAACUUAAAAGUUGUCUUAUGUAAUCUUAUAGCAUUAAAAGCACUUAUAUCUACAUCUUGUCCUCUAAUAUACGGAUAAGAGAUGCCUUAAUUAAUUUUGUCACAUCCCUUUCUUCCGAUGUGAAUGAAGCCAUCUUAAAGUAAUCUAAGAGGUAUCAUACAUAUGCCAAAAUCACUACUUAAUCAUUUUCAUAUGUAAAGUUACAUCAAUUUUAAAUUGGGACUUGUAGGGCAAAGAUAAAUUACUUUACAAAAGCUGCUGAGAAAAAAACGAAGGAGCAAAUUUAGAAGAGAUUAAUAUCAACGUGAACCUUAAUUUCCAAUGCUAUGCUAAAGGAAUAAAAUAAUGAACCACCUCGUGCAUGGUUCAAAACAAGAUAUAAUUAUUUUCUUUUUAUAAGGCUAGAGUGAGUAAACUGUGAAGGAUAUUAAUAAGUAAGCUAACUAAAUAACGUACAAUAGAAAAUAGAUACAACACUGGAAGGGGAAAAAGACAAGUAAUAUGAUAAUAGAAAAUGUAUACAGAUGAAUAAACCAUGUUCCACUUAAAGAAUUGCAUGACCACCAGAAUAAUGGGCAUAAGUAUGAAGGAAGAUGUGGUUAGUGAACAAGAGUGAAGUCAUGCAAGCAACUACAGACCAGUAAUUUCAAAUUUCUAAGAAGCCUCUGUGAUAAUUCCACAGGGUUUUCUAAUCCUAUUCUGCUGUUUUUUCAGUCAUACAAGCAAAUAAUUCUUAUUAAUGGUGUUGCCCUUGUACAUACCAGAACCCGGAGGACCAGUUCCAUCCAAGUAUCUACAAUGUGGAUUCCAGGCAUACAGAUCAACCAAGUGACCAAACCUGUACCACCAAAAUAUAGGAAACUGAAUGAACACAUCCAGAAAAAAAAAAAAAAUAGCUAUCAUGAAUUGUCAAACAAUAAAGUACAAGUUAAGAAACUUUUCAACACAUCACCUGUCGCCACCAUUUCCAUCCCUAUUGUCCAAGGGAUUGCCGCCAUAAAGCCGUCCUGGAAUAGCACUUCCUAUGGAAAAGUGCAUAAUGUCAACUUCAUGACCUUUGCAGGUCUUGUUAGUGCAUGAGGUUGAAUGUUCCUCACAGCCACCCAUCUUAUAACAAUCGACACAAUCUUUAUCAAAUAAUGUUUCAUAAAAAUAUUUUGAUAAAGGAUCAGGAUUAUAAUUGAAAGCAACAAAGACCGCAAAACUUGGAAAGCAUUGGAACAAACUAUUGUUCAGUGCAUCAGCUUACAUUAUGAUAAGAGGCACCAUCUCCAAUCUGAAACAUGAGAGCAACAGAUGGACAUUUCUUGCUUUCACUGCGUUGCAAAACAAAUGCACCAACCAUACAAAAUCUCGUCAUAAACUACCAUACACACAAAAAAAGAAGAAGAUGAUAAUACAUAUAAAGAACUUAAUUUAUAAGUAAUAUGGUGUAAAACUUUGUUAUACAGCCAUUACACAGGAUAUCACCUCAGUGGAGCAUCAUCAUGUUGAUAAAUAGGAUUAAAUCGAUAAUAUGAUUAAAUCGUAUAAGAUGUAAGUAAAGUUUAAAUGAAACUCAAAAUUAUGAUGUAUCCUCUCUUAUUUACAAACAUAUUAGACCCUAACAUUAAAUUUCAAAACAUUAUCAACAGAAAUAAGUUUGGUUCAGUAUCAAAACAAACAAGCUAAACUAGCCAGAAGUUUUUUUUUAUAUGCGUGUGAGGGCAUAUUGUUACCCUUUGGAGUACGCAUAAUCACCGUCGACUUGCAAUAGAAAGAAGAUAUCGCGGCCAUCAUGCACACUCUGCAACAACAAAAAAAUGAGAAAAAUAAUAACUAAAAAAAAUUGACGAAACUUAACUGAAGCGGAUGGAGUGCGAUACCUUAACGCUCAUCUUUCCACCUUUGAAUUCAUUCUCAGCGUCAGGGUCGAGGGCGGGGAGGAGAGGGAAGUACGACCCAUCAAUGUCCUUCCAAUCGUCGGCGUGGCCAUCCAGUGUGAUAACGCCGGGUUUGAAAUUGGCCUCGACUCGGAUCUCGGACUCGGAGUCGCAGCUCCAGGGGCCCGAUUCCUCGUGUGACUCCACCCGGGCUCCCAGGCCCAAUAAGAAGAACAGCAAAAGGUAACGAAGCAUUGUGGAAUGGAGUGGUGGCGUGCGUGUGAGCAGUUAGAAGUGAUGAUUGAAGAAUGAAGACACGUGUUUGUUAUGAAAGAUUUUACAGUUAUUGUAGUAACGAAAAUGGUUAUGAUUGUAGAAGGUUGACUCCGUGGUGUGGUGUGGCGGCCGGUGGGUUAGUGAAGGGAAGAAGGAAGGAAAGAUCGCGAUUGGCGCGGCUCUGACUUUUGUUGUGUGUGACUAUGCUUUAUUCAAAAUUUAGAUUAGAUCACAUUUCAUUUCAUUAGAUGUGACGUACUGUUUUCCCCCUUUUCACCGCCACUUUGCCUUUCGCCUCUUUCACGACCAUCUUCUCAAAACCAUUCUUCCAUUUUCUCUUACUUUAACUAUUCAACUAAUUAAUAUUAUAUAUUUCCA
Molecule: long non-coding RNA, 10344 nt
Filed under: Vigna radiata
Lineage: Eukaryota; Viridiplantae; Streptophyta; Magnoliopsida; Fabales; Fabaceae
Description: long non-coding RNA (VRAD_LNC008965)
Source: RNAcentral